UACGUAGGAUGCAAGCGUUGUCCGGUUUUAUUGGGUUUAAAGGGUGCGUAGGCGGCCUAUUAAGUUAGUGGUGAAAACGUUCGGCUUAACCGGAUACCCGCCAUUGAUACUGAUAGACUUGAGUGCGACAGAGGGUGUUGGAAUGUGUGGUGUAGCGGUGAAAUGCUUAGAUAUCACGCAGAACACCAAUUGCGAAGGCAGAUGCCUAUGUCGUAACUGACGCUGAGUCACAAAAGCGUGGGGAGCAAACAGG
This 253-nucleotide ribosomal RNA is filed under the name uncultured bacterium. Its description in RNAcentral is "partial 16S ribosomal RNA". It matches the Rfam family "Bacterial small subunit ribosomal RNA", at positions 524 to 776 of the family's 1533-position model. The record is from RNAcentral.